UCCCGUGUGGCUCAGUUGGUAGAGCAUGGUGCUUGCAAUGCCAGGGUUGUGUGUUCGAAUCCCAUGGGGA
RNAcentral lists this transfer RNA (70 nucleotides) under Salmo salar (Atlantic salmon). It matches the Rfam family "tRNA". Rfam says of the family: Transfer RNA (tRNA) molecules are approximately 80 nucleotides in length. Their secondary structure includes four short double-helical elements and three loops (D, anti-codon, and T loops). Further hydrogen bonds mediate the characteristic L-shaped molecular structure. tRNAs have two regions of fundamental functional importance: the anti-codon, which is responsible for specific mRNA codon recognition, and the 3' end, to which the tRNAs corresponding amino acid is attached (by aminoacyl-tRNA synthetases). tRNAs cope with the degeneracy of the genetic code in two manners: having more than one tRNA (with a specific anti-codon) for a particular amino acid; and 'wobble' base-pairing, i.e. permitting non-standard base-pairing at the 3rd anti-codon position. Lineage: Eukaryota; Metazoa; Chordata; Actinopteri; Salmoniformes; Salmonidae. The record is from Rfam by way of RNAcentral.